AAGGGUUUUGCCAAGUGGUAAGGCACAGCACUUUGACUGCUGCAUUCACAGGUUCAAAUCCUGUAACCCUUG
Molecule: transfer RNA, 72 nt
Filed under: Caudoviricetes sp.
Lineage: Duplodnaviria; Heunggongvirae; Uroviricota; Caudoviricetes
Description: tRNA-Gln
Rfam family: tRNA
About the family: Transfer RNA (tRNA) molecules are approximately 80 nucleotides in length. Their secondary structure includes four short double-helical elements and three loops (D, anti-codon, and T loops).
Source: RNAcentral